GGUUUUUGGGCUACCAAUUUCGAAACCUACGGACUCUUAAUCCGUAGGUCGAGUGUUCGAGUCACUCACGCCCCACCA
RNAcentral lists this transfer RNA (78 nucleotides) under Pandoraea pnomenusa. Its description in RNAcentral is "tRNA-Lys". It matches the Rfam family "tRNA", at positions 10 to 71 of the family's 71-position model. From Rfam's summary of the family: Transfer RNA (tRNA) molecules are approximately 80 nucleotides in length. Their secondary structure includes four short double-helical elements and three loops (D, anti-codon, and T loops). Lineage: Bacteria; Pseudomonadati; Pseudomonadota; Betaproteobacteria; Burkholderiales; Burkholderiaceae. The record is from RNAcentral.